GACGAACGCUGGCGGCGUGCCUAAUACAUGCAAGUCGAACGCUGAAGGAGGAGCUUGCUUCUCUGGAUGAGUUGCGAACGGGUGAGUAACGCGUAGGUAACCUGCCUGGUAGCGGGGGAUAACUAUUGGAAACGAUAGCUAAUACCGCAUAAGAGUAGAUGUCGCAUGACAUUUGCUUAAAAGUUGCAAUUGCAUCACUACCAGAUGGACCUGCGUUGUAUUAGCUAGUUGGUGAGGUAACGGCUCACCAAGGCAACGAUACAUAGCCGACCUGAGAGGGGGAUCGGCCACACUGGGACUGAGACACGGCCCAGACGCCUACGGGAGGGAGCAGGAGGGAAUCGUCGGCAAUGGACGGAAGUCUGACCGAGAAACGCCGAGUGAGGGAAGAAGGUUGUCGGAUCGUAAAGCUCGGUUGUAAGAGAAGAACGAGUGUGAGAGUGGAAAGUUCACACUGUGACGGUAUCUUACCAGAAAGGGACGGCUAACUACGUG
Molecule: ribosomal RNA, 495 nt
Filed under: uncultured bacterium
Lineage: Bacteria
Description: partial 16S ribosomal RNA
Rfam family: Bacterial small subunit ribosomal RNA
Source: RNAcentral